Molecule: transfer-messenger RNA, 374 nt
Filed under: Chlamydiales (chlamydias)
Lineage: Bacteria; Pseudomonadati; Chlamydiota; Chlamydiia
Also listed under: 1 other name
Description: 2-02-FULL-45-22_A sp002773795 Standard tmRNA
Rfam family: transfer-messenger RNA
About the family: Bacterial tmRNA, also known as 10Sa RNA or SsrA, is named for its dual tRNA and mRNA-like properties. Its role is to liberate the mRNA from a stalled ribosome. To accomplish this part of the tmRNA is used as a reading frame that ends in a translation stop signal.
Source: RNAcentral
GGGGGUGUCAAGGUUUCGACUUGGAAAUGAAGCAUAGGUGGCAUGUAGAGGAUGAUCGGUUGGCCUCUUAAAUCAUCCGAUCAAAACAAUAAACGACGAAUCUUACGAUGCGUGCGCGGUAGCUGCGGCUUAACAGCCUUAGUUACCCGGUAGCCCAUUUUCAGACCGAGAGGAAUGGAUAUCUACCGUCAUAUAUCUUGGUGGGAACGCAGGCCCUUUUGGAGGAUCUAGGCCGCAGUUCGACGCAGAGAAAAUCCAUCUAACCCCAAGCGACGAACCUUUCGGCAAGGUUAGAUUAAAUUAAGGUACUAAGCAUGUAGUCACUUUUGUGGAGUUUGCUAAGGACGAGAGUUCGAUUCUCUCCACCUCCAUUG